GGCAGAAUGAAACUUAAUCUUGGGUAAGAGACCUGUAAGUGAUUGGAGGUGCUACUGUGACAAACAUAAUUUGAUGGCUUCUUCCUUGCUGUUUCCUUUCAUCCUUUCAUUAAAGCAUUGCUGAUGAAGCUGAGUUGAAGUGAUGAAAAUGGACCUAAAAUCCAGCAAAGCUGAACAUGUUCAACGCUGAAGGAAGGAACAUAACAUCCACAACAGUGUUUCAAUUCAGGCUAAAGAAGGGUCUUUAUGGCAGAAUGAUGGAUUCCAUCUUUUCCAGAAUGGUAAGCAAAAAGCUUUUUCUGUUUCUGAUAACACAGAGCAGAAGGUAAGCUCUUGUGAGAAAGGAUUGCCAAAUUGCUUGAGAAAUAACUGUACUGUUCAAUUUCAU
This 388-nucleotide long non-coding RNA is filed under the name Parus major (Great Tit). RNAcentral's name for it is "lncRNA (ENSPMJG00000019457.1)". Lineage: Eukaryota; Metazoa; Chordata; Aves; Passeriformes; Paridae. The record is from RNAcentral.